This 119-nucleotide ribosomal RNA is filed under the name Lottia gigantea (owl limpet). Lineage: Eukaryota; Metazoa; Mollusca; Gastropoda; Lottiidae. The record is from RNAcentral.
GUCUACGGCCAUACCACGUUGAAAGCACCAGUUCUCGUCCGAUCACUGAAGUUAAGCAACGUCGGGCUCGGUUAGUACUUGGAUGGGUGACCGCCUGGGAACACCGAGUGCUGUGGACU